UUGUUUCCAUACGAAUGUCUCUGUUGCGACAAAGGGAAACGGAAGAAAAUAAUAUGUUCAUUAUCUGUAUCAAUAACUGACUUACUGACAUGCCACACAAACAGAUAUCAGGGUCCAUAAAAGGCAAAAAAAUAUUUAGAAAGUUCAAUUUAAACAGUCUACUCUACUCGCCUUCCCAACCUACUAGGGCUGAGCAAGUUUUGGCUAUAACUGGAAAACCGAACCGAACCGAUUCGAUUAAAUUGGUUUUUUUUCAGUUAUUUAAGUCAAACAGUUCAGUUCAGUUAU
This 288-nucleotide unclassified non-coding RNA is filed under the name Hevea brasiliensis (rubber tree). The record is from RNAcentral. Lineage: Eukaryota; Viridiplantae; Streptophyta; Magnoliopsida; Malpighiales; Euphorbiaceae.